CAGCAGCCACGGGUACACGGAGGGUGCAAGCGUUAAUCGGAAUUACUGGGCGUAAAGCGCACGCAGGCGGUCUGACAAGUCAGAUGUGAAAUCCCCGGGCUUAACCUGGGAACUGCAUUUGAAACUGUCAGGCUGGAGUCUUGUAGAGGGGGGUAGAAUUCCAGGUGUAGCGGUGAAAUGCGUAGAGAUCUGGAGGAAUACCGGUGGCGAAGGCGGCCCCCUGGACAAAGACUGACGCUCAGGUGCGAAAGCGUGGGGAGCAAACAGGAUUAGAUACCCCUGUAGUCCCUGUCUCUUAUAC
This 301-nucleotide ribosomal RNA is filed under the name uncultured bacterium. RNAcentral describes it as "partial 16S ribosomal RNA". It matches the Rfam family "Bacterial small subunit ribosomal RNA", at positions 509 to 807 of the family's 1533-position model. The record is from RNAcentral.